AGCUGUAUGAUUGACUGCUUCAUGAUUGUCAAGCUGUGAUUCAGCUUGAUCAAUAGAAAUUUUCCUAUAAGGUGAUGGUUCAUUCUGUACUGUCCCUUUGUCUGUGUUGGUAUCCCGUGUAAUAGUUAAAGCAUUCGAUGAUUGUGUCAAUGAACUAGACGAUGGCAUUAUACAAACCUGUGCAUUGUUAUCAUUUGGUGUCACA
Molecule: long non-coding RNA, 205 nt
Filed under: Nicotiana benthamiana
Lineage: Eukaryota; Viridiplantae; Streptophyta; Magnoliopsida; Solanales; Solanaceae
Description: long non-coding RNA (NBEN_LNC000187)
Source: RNAcentral